UUGAAUUUGACCAUCUUGUGCAUUUAUGAAGAAGACCAAAAGCUGCAAAGGCAAACACUUGCAAUGGCAGAAACUGAGAGUUUGCAUGAUGGCAUUUUCUCAGACGCUGAAUCUGAUGUGUACAGAUGAACUCAGGAGCCUACUAGAGUUGCCAAGGAACUUGUGCUUGAACUGAAGACCAGAAACGCAAAGAAAAUCAGUCAAGCCAGUCCUAAAGAAAUGAGGAAUGAACAUGGACUUCUUGUGCCCCAAAAGAAAAGACAGAAAGCUCCUAGAAUGAGCAAAUCAGCUGUGCAUCAUCUCUGUGAUUUGGGAAGGAAAUGACUGAAUAUGAUGGAGCCAGUUGAUGAAGAUAUCAAUUGAAUGGCCACCGAGUGCAUCACUGCUACCUGAACCCAUCAGUUAUCUGCUGUGAAGACUGCAUUCACAAACCGCUCUACUGCGACAGCUCAGAUGUUACGGCCUGUAAAAGUAAACAUCACAGCAAAACAACGAGAGCUAGUUGUGGUGGGAUUCUUUUGGCCAAUAUCCCCAACAAGAAUCGAUGACAUCUAGACCAGGUGGAGUGUGAGGAGGACGGUCAGAGACUCCAGCCAGCCGAGCCAUGGAUUGCUCUCACUGUUACCAUCAGGCAGACGUUAUCACAGAACCUACACCAGCAGACAGUGAGACAAGUUCCUUUCACAGGCAAUCAGACUGAACUGAACUCAUACCAGUAAAACCAUACACACCCCACCAACCUCAUAUGCCCUGCACUCUUAUCAGUUAUGCUGACUGGACUCAAUAUUAUUAUGCACCCUGACAUUCUGUUUGCACUAAUUCAUACCGUGCUUUACUGCAGAGAUGUAUGUGUACUGUGAUUAUUAUUGUUUUCAAUUCAUGCUCUCUGUAUAGCAUAAUUUUUAACAUAUUGUUCUCUACCUGAAUUGAGUCCCUUAUAUAUGUAUGUUGCAUAUAUAUAUUCAGAAUUUGUAUUUCAUAUAUAUUCAUGAAUUAAUUAAUUUGUCAUCCAUACUGUCACGCUGCAGUCUGCACUCAAGACUUUCACCACCUGUAUACUUGUGUUCAUUGUAUUUUGACAAUAAAGACAUUUGAUUUAAAUUA
Carassius auratus (goldfish) is the source of this 1104-nucleotide long non-coding RNA. RefSeq lists it as uncharacterized. The record is from RefSeq and is a predicted model, not a curated record. The transcript has 6 exons. Lineage: Eukaryota; Metazoa; Chordata; Actinopteri; Cypriniformes; Cyprinidae.